AUUCUAAAUGGAUUUAUGGCGAUUGAUGAGUCAUUUGUAUCUAUAAAUUUCUGCUUUAAAACUAACGUUGAAAUGAGAUUAAGCCAUAACGAUGAAGUUUUCAGGUGUAUUUGUCAUCUUUUUCCUUUUGGUAUCCUUGGAAUUUUUCUCAACACCUGUGAAUGGUUUUCUAUGGUGGGGCGGAAGAACAAAAAAGAAAACGGUUAUAAAAGAUGGAGACUUUAAAUUCAAAGAGGUGGAAGUUUCCCAUGGCCAUCAAUCGCCAAGGUAAGAGGCCAUUGGUGCUACUGUUGGUCCAGCUUCAUUCAAGUGAUCAGUUGAAAAAGAUGUAUGAAUUAUGGAAAACUUAGAAUGAAAAUAAACCUAUGUGCACUUA
Long non-coding RNA from Saccostrea cuccullata (small rock oyster), 376 nucleotides. RefSeq lists it as uncharacterized. The record is from RefSeq and is a predicted model, not a curated record. The transcript has 3 exons. Lineage: Eukaryota; Metazoa; Mollusca; Bivalvia; Ostreida; Ostreidae.